RNAcentral lists this ribosomal RNA (837 nucleotides) under uncultured archaeon. RNAcentral's name for it is "bacterial SSU rRNA". It matches the Rfam family "Archaeal small subunit ribosomal RNA", at positions 21 to 859 of the family's 1478-position model. The record is from RNAcentral.
GGUUACUGCUAUCGGUGUUCGCCUAAGCCAUGCGAGUCAUAUGUUCUUCGGAACAUGGCGUACUGCUCAGUAACACGUGGAUAACCUGCCCUUGGGUCCGGCAUAACCCCGGGAAACUGGGGAUAAUUCCGGAUAACGCACAUAUGCUGGAAUGCUUUAUGCGUCAAAUGGAUUCGUCCGCCCAAGGAUGGGUCUGCGGCCUAUCAGGUAGUAGUGGGUGUAAUGUACCUACUAGCCUACGACGGGUACGGGUUGUGAGAGCAAGAGCCCGGAGAUGGAUUCUGAGACAUGAAUCCAGGCCCUACGGGGCGCAGCAGGCGCGAAAACUUUACAAUGCGGGAAACCGUGAUAAGGGGACACCGAGUGCCAGCAUCAUAUGCUGGCUGUCCGGGUGUGUAAAAUACACCUGUUAGCAAGGGCCGGGCAAGACCGGUGCCAGCCGCCGCGGUAACACCGGCGGCCCGAGUGGUGAUCGUGAUUAUUGAGUCUAAAGGGUCCGUAGCCGGUUUGGUCAGUCCUCCUGGAAAUCUGACAGCUUAACUGUUAGGCUUUCGGAGGAUACUGCCAGACUUGGAACCGGGAGAGGUAAGAGGUACUACAGGGGUAGGAGUGAAAUCUUGUAAUCCCUGUGGGACCACCUGUGGCGAAGGCGUCUUACCAGAACGGGUUCGACGGUGAGGGACGAAAGCUGGGGGCACGAACCGGAUUAGAUACCCGGGUAGUCCCAGCCGUAAACGAUGCUCGCUAGGUGUCAGGCAUGGCGCGACCGUGUCUGGUGCCGCAGGGAAGCCGUGAAGCGAGCCACCUGGGAAGUACGGCCGCAAGGCUGAAACUUAA